RNAcentral lists this long non-coding RNA (464 nucleotides) under Struthio camelus australis. RNAcentral's name for it is "lncRNA (ENSSCUG00000013538.1)". The record is from RNAcentral. Lineage: Eukaryota; Metazoa; Chordata; Aves; Struthioniformes; Struthionidae.
UGUAUCAGAAUUUAUCUUUCUGGUUUGAUUCAUAAUCUUGAAGCUAAUCUUUGUUUCUGAAUUAGGAAAGAGGCUUGACUGUCAGCCCUGAAGCAUCUCCUGGGAUGUCCUUGAGCUCUGAGCGUUCAUGAUGCUGCUUUUUAUUAGGAGCAAGAAGACAAUGAUGAGGUCAUGUGAAGUUCUGCGCUCAUGUAGUAUCAGAUACAGAGGCUGCAGCCCUAUUCCUAUGAACAGAACAGGUACAAUACAGAGAAUCAUACUCCAUAUGUCUUCAGCAUUCCUUUAAAUCCAGUGUUUCUGAAUGCAGUUCAACUAGAGGACAUCCGUACUUGCCUGUCUUGAAUUUCUCUGCAGUUACCACUAUAGCAUCUAAAUCCUGAAUAUAUAAUUAAGCUACCUACAUUGAAGUUGUAAUUGAGCUCUACUAAGAACAAAAAUUGAUUUUAACUUAAAGGGUUUAAAAU